CCUACGGGAGGCUGCAGUGGGGAAUAUUGGACAAUGGGGGGAACCCUGAUCCAGCCAUGCCGCGUGUGUGAAGAAGGCCCUCGGGUUGUAAAGCACUUUCAGUGAGGAAGAACGCCUGGUGGUUAAUACCCAUCAGGAAUGACAUCACUCACAGAAGAAGCACCGGCUAACUCCGUGCCAGCAGCCGCGGUAAUACGGAGGGUGCGAGCGUUAAUCGGAAUUACUGGGCGUAAAGCGCGCGUAGGUGGCUUGAUAAGCCGGUUGUGAAAGCCCCGGGCUCAACCUGGGAACGGCAUCCGGAACUGUCAAGCUAGAGUGCAGGAGAGGAAGGUAGAAUUCCCGGUGUAGCGGUGAAAUGCGUAGAGAUCGGGAGGAAUACCAGUGGCGAAGGCGACCUUCUGGACUGACACUGACACUGAGGUGCGAAAGCGUGGGUAGCAAACAGGAUUAGAUACCCGUGUAGUC
RNAcentral lists this ribosomal RNA (465 nucleotides) under Vreelandella stevensii. Its description in RNAcentral is "partial 16S ribosomal RNA". It matches the Rfam family "Bacterial small subunit ribosomal RNA", at positions 338 to 795 of the family's 1533-position model. The record is from RNAcentral. Lineage: Bacteria; Pseudomonadati; Pseudomonadota; Gammaproteobacteria; Oceanospirillales; Halomonadaceae.